Molecule: ribosomal RNA, 700 nt
Filed under: Halobacillus profundi
Lineage: Bacteria; Bacillati; Bacillota; Bacilli; Caryophanales; Bacillaceae
Description: bacterial SSU rRNA
Rfam family: Bacterial small subunit ribosomal RNA
Source: RNAcentral
AGCGCGGGAAGCGAGUGGAUCCCUUCGGGGUGAAGCUCGUGGAACGAGCGGCGGACGGGUGAGUAACACGUGGGCAACCUGCCUGUAAGACCGGAAUAACCCCGGGAAACCGGGGCUAAUGCCGGGUAAUACUUUUCUUCGCAUGAAGGAAAGUUGAAAGAUGGCUUCUUGCUAUCACUUACAGAUGGGCCCGCGGCGCAUUAGCUAGUUGGUGAGGUAACGGCUCACCAAGGCGACGAUGCGUAGCCGACCUGAGAGGGUGAUCGGCCACACUGGGACUGAGACACGGCCCAGACUCCUACGGGAGGCAGCAGUAGGGAAUCUUCCGCAAUGGACGAAAGUCUGACGGAGCAACGCCGCGUGAACGAUGAAGGUCUUCGGAUCGUAAAGUUCUGUUGUUAGGGAAGAACAAGUACCGUGCGAAUAGAGCGGUACCUUGACGGUACCUAACGAGGAAGCCCCGGCUAACUACGUGCCAGCAGCCGCGGUAAUACGUAGGGGGCAAGCGUUGUCCGGAAUUAUUGGGCGUAAAGCGCGCGCAGGCGGUUCCUUAAGUCUGAUGUGAAAGCCCACGGCUCAACCGUGGAGGGUCAUUGGAAACUGGGGAACUUGAGGACAGAAGAGGAGAGUGGAAUUCCACGUGUAGCGGUGAAAUGCGUAGAUAUGUGGAGGAACACCAGUGGCGAAGGCGACUCUCUGG